GACAACACUCAACCAUCCCUUGUGCCUUCAGGGCCUGGCAGGCGGAGCUGGGAUGCCUGAGAGGGGCCAGGGCUGGCCUCUGUCCAUGGUGGAAGCCUACGGAGGGAGAGUCCGGAGGGAGAGUCCAUGUUACAUAACCUCUCUGUGCCUCCUGUUCUUCAACUGUGAGAACGACACUCCGUAGUUGUCUCUGAUAUUCACAACCACAAGGCUAUCACGGAGCUUAAAAUGAGUUCAUACGUGUACAGGACAUAGAACAAUGCUGGAUACGUAUACACACGUAUGUGCUAUCACUGUUGGGAAAAAUCAAACGAGGACGAAUCAAAGCCAGCCCCAGACUCUGCUUCCUACUCCAAGCCACUUCUGGGCACCUGGCCUCCACUUCCAGAGCCAACUGGCUAAUGCUGUUCAUCUGUUCACGUGUCUGUCUCGAUCGCCGCAGUCUGCAGUCUCCGAAACAGAGCUCAGCACUAGCAGGUACUUGGAAUCCGACUUCCCCCCCAGUCCACUGGAGUGCUCCCUGCGGGAAGUACACGAAGGCUCACCUCAGUGGCCAGGAAGCCCUGAGUGGCCCACCCUCUUCUGGCCAUAGUCUCCAAGUCUCCUCAAAUCAAACAGGCUCGUUGUAAACAAAGGCAGAACGUUACAGAACUACGUGAUUUAUGAAGCGAGAGGCUGGUAAUCAACUCCCCAAGGAGCAGAGUUUGGUAAUCCUCCGGUGUCCGCUUCCAGAUUUCUCUCCACGUCGCCGGAGAUCAGGUCUGGCCCGGCGGGCCCUCCCCCAGGGGCCGGGACCGGAACGCCAGGCCGGAAGGAACAGGGCCGGGCCCCGCCGCAGCAGUGCAGCCUCGGCCGUGCCCCACGCCACCGUCCCGGGGGCGGCCGCGCUGCCCCGCGCCUGGCCCGGCUGGGCCGGGUGGGGCCCGGGGAAGCCGCUACGUCAGGAGGCGGACGGGAGGGAGCCCGCGCCGCCCCAGCCAGGCUUCCAUUACAUCACUCGGCGGCGCGGAGCCGCGCCGGGGUAAACACCGCUGCAAACCAUUGGCUACCUUGCGGCCCUUCCAACCAAUUACACGAUUGUAUGCAAAUCA
This is a long non-coding RNA of Felis catus (domestic cat), 1091 nucleotides long. RefSeq lists it as uncharacterized. The record is from RefSeq and is a predicted model, not a curated record. The transcript is spliced from 5 exons. Lineage: Eukaryota; Metazoa; Chordata; Mammalia; Carnivora; Felidae.